CGGAAGGCAGCAGUGAGGAAUAUUGGUCAAUGGACGAGAGUCUGUACCAGCCAAGUAGCGUGCAGGAAGACGGCCCUAUGGGUUGUAAACUGCUUUUGUACGGGAAUAAAGUGACCUACGUGUAGGUUUUUGCAUGUACCGUAAGAAUAAGGACCGGCUAAUUCCGUGCCAGCAGCCGCGGUAAUACGGAAGGUCCGGGCGUUAUCCGGAUUUAUUGGGUUUAAAGGGAGCGUAGGCCGUGCUUUAAGCGUGUUGGGAAAUGUAGGCGCCCAACGUCUGCACUGCAGCGCGAACUGGAGCACUUGAGUACGCAGGAAGUAGGCGGAAUUCGUCGUGUAGCGGUGAAAUGCUUAGAUAUGACGAAGAACUCCGAUUGGGGAGCCAGCUUACUGUAGCGCCACUGACGCUGAUGCUCGAAAGCGUGGGUAUCGAACAGGAUUAGAUACCCUGGUA
This 453-nucleotide ribosomal RNA is filed under the name uncultured Prevotella sp. RNAcentral's name for it is "partial 16S ribosomal RNA". It matches the Rfam family "Bacterial small subunit ribosomal RNA", at positions 342 to 792 of the family's 1533-position model. The record is from RNAcentral. Lineage: Bacteria; Pseudomonadati; Bacteroidota; Bacteroidia; Bacteroidales; Prevotellaceae.